This 497-nucleotide ribosomal RNA is filed under the name uncultured bacterium. RNAcentral's name for it is "partial 16S ribosomal RNA". It matches the Rfam family "Bacterial small subunit ribosomal RNA", at positions 28 to 507 of the family's 1533-position model. The record is from RNAcentral.
GAUGAACGCUGGCGGCGUGCUUAAUACAUGCAAGUCGAGCGAACGGACGAUAAGCUUGCUUCUCUGAUGUUAGCGGCGGACGGGUGUGUAACACGUGGAUAACCUACCUAUAAGAGUGGUAUAACUUCGGGAAACGGGAUCUAAUACCGGAUAAUAUCUUGAACCGCAGGGGUGAAAAGUGAAAGACGGUCUUGCUGUCAGUUAUAGAUGGAUCUGCGCUGCAUUAGCUAGUUGGUAAGGUAACGGCUUACCAAGGCAACGAUGCAUAGCCGACCUGAGAGGGUGAUAGGCCACACUGGAACUGGGACACGGUCCAGACUCCUACGAGAGGCCGCAGUAGGGAAUCUUCCGCAGUGGGCGAGAGCCUGACAGAGCAACGGCACGUGAGAGAUGGAGGUGUUGGGUGCGUAAUACUGUGUUAUUAGGGGAAAACAUAUGUCGAAGUUGCUGAGCACAGCGUGACGGUAACUAGUCAGAAAGCAACGGCUAACUACGUG